Molecule: long non-coding RNA, 2888 nt
Organism: Rosa rugosa (rugosa rose)
Lineage: Eukaryota; Viridiplantae; Streptophyta; Magnoliopsida; Rosales; Rosaceae
Exons: 5
Source: RefSeq, a predicted model, not a curated record
AUUGACUUAAGACUGCCCUAAGCCCCUAACUAUUCGACAGCUUCCUUCUCCUCCUCUUCGUUCAAUCGUUCUACACCUCCGACCAAAACUCUCAUCCUCUUGGUUCUUCGAAUCCAACCAGAACUUGACGCCUCGUCCUCCUUCUUUUUCGCGUCACACUAGCUCAUCUGCUCUAAGACAGUGAACAGGAUCGUAGAUCGAGGCCGCCGUUUGGGAGAAACUUUGAGCUUCUGAGUCAUAGGUAAUUCACGAAUCUGUUCAGUACAUGUCUUUGAAGGAUUUGUGAGUUCUGAAAUCACCGAUCUGAGCUUUUGUUUCUUAAUUUGCUUCCAAGGAUUUGUGUUUCAUCUACCGAGCCAUUCUUCAUUGAGCUGGGCAAGUUCGAAGCUUGGUGACCAUGUAACUGGAGCUUUCUGGGCAUUCUUUAUCUCAGGUUCGCUCUUUCUCAAUUCUUCUCAUUGUUUGUGACUGAUUUGGGAAACUUUGGGGCUUUUGUUAAGUUUUAGGUUUCGGGUUUUGCAAAUUUUGGGGCUUAAACUUCCAAACUUUGAUGGACCCAUUUCACCAAACGUAGCAUACAUGUCCUUGAGUGGUCCGCCAAUGUCAAAUUUUGCUUGUUUAUCAACUAAAAAGCUUCACAUUAUCGAUGUGAUUUGCUUCAAGGAAGGUGCAUGCUUUUGUGUUUGAGCUUCACCGGUGGCUUCGAUGGUAAAGUUUUAAGCUUUGAGAUGAGUUUUGAUGUGGGUUUGGGUUGUUCUUAUUCAGCAGUUUCUGGGUUGCUUCUGAUUUUGUUCUUUACCUACUGAUUGUUGGAAUCUGGAUUAUAAUUGCUCUUUUAGGAAAGCUGUUUAGAAUUUGUUGUUUGUUGGGUUUAUUUGAGGCAGCUCUGAACUGAACUGGGGUUGUCCAUACUGGUCUUGGAUUUUGUAUCGGCAGACAUUUAAUCCAUUAGCUGAGUGGGUGAGCGAGAAAUUGAUUUACAAAUGGAACUUUGUGUCUCUUUGAUUCUCUUUUUGAUUUCUCUGCCAGCAUUUUUGGCCAAAGAUGUUGGACAUGCUAGCAUUGUAGUUGAUGGGACAGUAGCUACUGCACAGGUUGAUAACAAUUUUGUCUGUGCCACUCUUGAUUGGUGGAAUCAUGAAAAGUGCGACUACAACCACUGUCCUUGGGGAUCGGCAUCUGUGUUAAAUUUGAGCUUGUCUCAUCCUCUGCUUGCCAAGUCAAUUCAAGCUUUCAAUCAGUUGAGGAUCAGAAUUGGGGGUUCCUUGUAAGAUCAAUAAUUGUAUGGUGUAGGAGAUUUGAAAUAUCCUUGCCAUCCUUUUAGAAAGCAGAAGGGUGGGUUGUUUGGAUUUUCUACAGGAUGUUUACCUAUGAGUAGAUGGGAUGAGCUUAACCAUUUUUUCAGCAAGACGAGGCCCCUUGUCACAUUUAGCUUGAAUGCACUGUCAGGGAGGCACCACAAAGGCGCGGAUGUUUGGGUUGGAGAUUAGGACUCUAGCAAUGCCUAUGAUUUUAUUAAUUAUACAGUUUUGAAGGGCUACCACAUAAAUUCAUGGGAGUUGGGUAUGAUUAUGAAAAGAUAUGAACAUCUUUCUUGCCACUUGUUUUGUUUUUGCUUCACAUAUAUUCUUGUCACAUCUUUCAUGUAGUCAGGGGACUCUGUAUGGUCAUUUUUUAUUCUUCUGAUGUUAAACAGCCAUGGUCGCCUUCAAUGACAUAGUGUCCACUUUAGUCACUCUAUAGCUGUUUCAAUCCCUCACACAUUGUUUCUUGUGCAGAUCAUGGCAUCUAGUUUAAGUGGACUUACUGUUGGAGAUCCACUCCCUGAAAAUCUCAUGGAAUCUCCUGCAAGGUCUGAAACCAUGUUUUAUGCAAGGUAACCUUCUGCAUUUUUCCUCCUCACUUCAUGUCCUAAUGAUGCUGCUCAGCUUAAUUACUAGUCCACCUUUGACUGUAGUAGCUUAAAUUUGCAAGAAUGUGAUAAUAUUUCUUAGUAUAAUGAACUCAAUCUUGGUCCUUUGUUCAUGUCAUCAUGUGAUAAAACAGCAGGAUAAUUGCAGUUUGGGUCAUAUAUAGGUAGUGCUACGCAACUCUUGAGAGAGGUGAAGUUCAAUUUAUAGCUGUCCCUGAUCUUGCUUUAAAUUAAAUUUGCCUACUUUGAAGUUUUCUGGAAAUGCAGAUAACAUAGUAGUAGCAUGCACGGUCUAGUCUGCACGUUUAGUAUCUUAUUCUCUUCUCAAAAUUACUCUAUUUGCAUACUAGUAUGGAUUUGUUGUUGUUGGAAGAUAGAAUCUGUCGAAUCGUCUAUGUUUUCUGUUUAAUUGCUGAGUUAGUUUACAAAUGAAUGGCUUGAAUAAGAGUAUAUCAAUAUAUACAGCUGGUAUGGGUCUCUCAUAACAACUUGCAUUUAGCUCUUUCACCUUAAUAUUUUGUACAGGCAAACAUCUUCUCAAUGUUUCAGAUUACCUGUUCUUUAAUGCAGGUGUGGACUUUGGCCUAUGCCACCCCUGUGUACUUACUGUUAAGUCAUUGCCCUCUUCUUUAACUACUUUUUGUGAUUUGAAGUUGCAAUUUAAGUGGGUAUCUGUGAAACUAGUUCUCCAACUCAUUGGCACAUGUUUUUGCUAGGUUCAUUUGCAGCUACACCAAGGACUGGAAAUUCAAGUUACAAGUAUUUUUAUCUUAUAACAAACUGCUAUUUUUUUUUCUCUUUUUCUUUUUACUGUAUCUACAAACCUUUUUUGUCUUCAUAUGGUUUAUUUAGGAGACUUCAAUCUUGUUCUUUUCUUUUACUAUUGUAUAUGGAGAAGUUUAGGCCAUAUGUCCCCUUCUCCCUACUCUUUGUACAAUUUUUAUCAAUAAUAUUAAUGAGAAUUUUCUUUUGCUUA